Long non-coding RNA from Equus quagga, 1902 nucleotides. RefSeq lists it as uncharacterized. The record is from RefSeq and is a predicted model, not a curated record. The transcript has 4 exons. Lineage: Eukaryota; Metazoa; Chordata; Mammalia; Perissodactyla; Equidae.
GGCCUGUGGCAGCCACAUUCUGUGCUAUGUGAUUUCUGCACCCUUUGCGCCAACCACCCUUCAUACCUCCGCUAGGGCUGGGAUCUCCUGUGCAGCAGCCAAGCCAAGGUUGCCAAAUUGCUUUUUGAUCAGGACUCUUCAGGGGAGCGGACUCCCUCCUUCGGUCGAUGCAGACAUUCCUUUCCUGCAUUUUGCAGUCAUCUAUGCAGAGACUCAUGGAAAGCGUGAUUGAAUACACACUUCUAAUUCCCUGAUUUGAAUCAUCCAUGUAGAUAUGGAAACUAUGUUUAUUUAAAGACCAGGACGGCCGGUUGCAUUAAGAAUGUUUGUGGCAGGAGUACUUUUCUGAGUCACAGAGGGACACCGCACAGUGAAGAUGAACUUCAUCAUAAUCUCCAAUGAACUUAAAGACGGUGACGUGGAAGCGACAGGUUAGGGAGACACCGUUCUCCUCGAUGCCAAUGGUAUUAUCUUUAAUGUUCUGACACCUAUUCAGAAAAAAUGGAAUCUUUGCUUCACAUUUUCAUAUUUCAUAUAAAAUCAUCAUAAACGGUAAAGAUACCUUUGCAUUUGAAAGUGACCUCUCGACUGUGUGGGUUUGUCAUUAUUACCACUCCCUUAUAUUUUCAUAGUUUGUUUUAAAAGCAUCAAAUAGCACAAGUUAGUAUCCUAACUGCAACUAAAAACAAAACGACCGGAGAGACUGCGCUCGAUUUCCCAGCGCUUCAGUUUCUCAUUCCGCCUCCUCAUUAUGCUGUGUUUUACUGACAUCCAUUUAACAAACACAAGAUUAGUCCUUAAUUCUUCUGUACUUUCUUCAGUUAAUUAUCAGCUUUGGGAGGGGCCCCUGUUUCAAACCCUCUUGGGAAGUGUUCCCACAUGUGAAAGUAGGUGGAGCUGGAGGAGAAGGAAGAGCAGUCAAGAAGAGCUCGAGUCGUUUUGAUGUAGGAGACUGCCGAGUCGCCCCCCUCCCUCUCCUCCUCGGGUACUGAGCCAGCAGGCGACCACAGCCUUGGCCCUCCCUCGGGCACAGAUGCCUGACCUCUGCUGCUUAGAGUUCCCCAACGCAUCACAGUCUCCUAGGCCCCAGGGUCUUCUCACGUAACGUUUCCCGAGUGGAAGUCUUUCGGCUCCUCUUCCCAUGCGUAACCCCUGCUCUUUCUCCAGCACCAGCCUAUGGCUCCCCCUCCUUUAUAAAUAUCCCCCAGUGUUGCCCCAACCAGGGAGGAACAAGUGGCUUUUCCUGGACUUCCCAACAGCAUCCAUAGAGCCCUUGGCGAGAAGGAAUCAAGUCGGAAUCCUCAUCGUGUCUCCAACGCACUGCAGGGCACGUAACCCAGCCAGGGACCCUAAGAGCAUCGAGGAGAACUGUGCCCUCCCCUGACACCAGGCAAUUUAAUGCUGCAUCCUCUUCAAACAAAGAAGAGGCAGGUGAUCCAAGAAAGGCUAGAUAUAUUCCUCCCCAGGGAUUCCCUGAACUGGGGUUAGAAGGAAUGCUCGCUCCUUAGGCAUUACAAUGCUUAAGAAUGCGAAUCCAGGAUUGCCAGUAUCUAACGAGAUCAAUGAGAGAGAGAGAGAGAGAGAGAUGAGGGAGAGAGGGAGGGAGAGAGAGUCUUGACAGCAUUUGGCUGCCUGGAUCCGAUCAUCCCUGAAGCCACUUCCACUCUUACGAUUUGGUUUUGUAACUGUUAAAUGCCUUGUAUUUGCAUAAGCUAGUUUGAAUUGGUCUCUACCACUUCUAAUAGGAAGAAUUUUGGUUACUAUAGUCAUCUGCUUUGAGAAUUAUCAUAUUGGGGUGAUGAAAAUGUUCCAAAAUUAGAUUAUGUUGAUGGUUGCACUCCUCUUGUAAAUUCACUAAAAAUCAUUGAAUUUUACACUUAAAGCAAGUACAUCUUAUUAUUA